RNAcentral lists this ribosomal RNA (254 nucleotides) under uncultured bacterium. Its description in RNAcentral is "partial 16S ribosomal RNA". It matches the Rfam family "Bacterial small subunit ribosomal RNA", at positions 524 to 776 of the family's 1533-position model. The record is from RNAcentral.
UACGGGGGGAGCAAGCGUUGUUCGGAUUUACUGGGCGUAAAGGGCGCGUAGGCGGUCGUGACAAGUCACUUGUGAAAUCUCCGGGCUUAACUCGGAACGGUCAAGUGAUACUGUCGGACUAGAGUACAGAAGGGGCAACUGGAAUUCUCGGUGUAGCGGUGAAAUGCGUAGAUAUCGGGAGGAACACCAGUGGCGAAGGCGGUUACCUGGGGUUGUUCUGACGCUGAGGAGCGAAAGCUAGGGGAGCAAACGGG